This 148-nucleotide ribosomal RNA is filed under the name Salmonella enterica subsp. enterica serovar Anatum. RNAcentral's name for it is "partial 16S ribosomal RNA". It matches the Rfam family "Bacterial small subunit ribosomal RNA", at positions 405 to 546 of the family's 1533-position model. The record is from RNAcentral. Lineage: Bacteria; Pseudomonadati; Pseudomonadota; Gammaproteobacteria; Enterobacterales; Enterobacteriaceae.
AUGAAGAAGGCCUUCGGGUUGUAAAGUACUUUCAGCGGGGAGGAAGGUGUUGUGGUUAAUAACCGCAGCAAUUGACGUUACCCGCAGAAGAAGCACCGGCUAACUCCGUGCCAGCAGCCGCGGUAAUUCCGCUUAACAGCAGUUGUCC